AAGGUAGCGAAAUUCCUUGUCGGGUAAGUUCCGACCUGCACGAAUGGCGUAAUGAUGGCCAGGCUGUCUCCACCCGAGACUCAGUGAAAUUGAACUCGCUGUGAAGAUGCAGUGUACCCGCGGCAAGACGGAAAGACCCCGUGAACCUUUACUAUAGCUUGACACUGAACAUUGAGCCUUGAUGUGUAGGAUAGGUGGGAGGCUUUGAAGCGUGGACGCCAGUCUGCGUGGAGCCAACCUUGAAAUACCACCCUUUAAUGUUUGAUGUUCUAACGUUGGCCCCUGACCGGGGUUGCGGACAGUGUCUGGUGGGUAGUUUGACUGGGGCGGUCUCCUCCCAAAGCGUAACGGAGGAGCACGAAGGUUAGCUAAUCCUGGUCGGACAUCAGGAGGUUA
This 396-nucleotide ribosomal RNA is filed under the name Pseudomonas aeruginosa. RNAcentral's name for it is "partial 23S ribosomal RNA". It matches the Rfam family "Bacterial large subunit ribosomal RNA", at positions 1953 to 2348 of the family's 2925-position model. Lineage: Bacteria; Pseudomonadati; Pseudomonadota; Gammaproteobacteria; Pseudomonadales; Pseudomonadaceae. The record is from RNAcentral.